AACGAACGCUGGCGGCAUGCCUAACUCAUGCAAGUCGAACGAACCCUUCGGGGUUAGUGGCGCACGGGUGCGUAACGCGUGGGGAUCUGCCCUUUGCUUCGGAAUAACAGUUAGAAAUGACUGCUAAUACCGGAUGAUGUCGAAAGACCAAAGAUUUAUCGGCAAAGGAUGAACCCGCGUAGGAUUAGCUAGUUGGUGGGGUAAAGGCCUACCAAGGCGACGAUCCUUAGCUGGUCUGAGAGGAUGAUCAGCCACACUGGGACUGAGACACGGCCCAGACUCCUACGGGAGGCAGCAGUGGGGAAUAUUGGACAAUGGGCGAAAGCCUGAUCCAGCAAUGCCGCGUGAGUGAUGAAGGCCUUAGGGUUGUAAAGCUCUUUUACCAGGGAUGAUAAUGACAGUACCUGGAGAAUAAGCUCCGGCUAACUCCGUGCCAGCCGCCGCAGUAA
Molecule: ribosomal RNA, 449 nt
Filed under: uncultured bacterium
Lineage: Bacteria
Description: partial 16S ribosomal RNA
Rfam family: Bacterial small subunit ribosomal RNA
Source: RNAcentral